Molecule: long non-coding RNA, 1313 nt
Organism: Alligator mississippiensis (American alligator)
Lineage: Eukaryota; Metazoa; Chordata; Crocodylia; Alligatoridae
Exons: 4
Source: RefSeq, a predicted model, not a curated record
AGGAUGAUAGGACCAAAGAUGCAAAUGAGGAUCAGUAGCUGUACUGCUACUGUUGCUGUUGCCAAAGAACAAAAAAAGAGGAAGGUUUCCAAUAAACUCUCCCAAACCCUGGACUCAAAGCUGCAUCUGACAUAAUACUGAGAGGGACUUCCUGGUUCACUGAACCCAGUCUCCUGCCAUCAGAGAUAUAUCAUCAUAUAAUGCUGUUAAUUAAUUUAUCUCAUGUCUAUCACCACAGUACCAGGCAGUUGCUGGAGGCAAGAGGAGGAAGGAGGACAGAAGGAAGAGAGAAGCCAGGCAGCAGACCCUGCUCAGGAAAUUUGCAGACCUAGGAGGGAAGGAUGCAUCGAAGAAGUGAACCAAUGACUCCGGCGGUGGUGCUACUGAGAGGGCUUCAGUUCCUUCAACCACCGCACACUUCAGGGAGAGAGGACUCUUGGGAAGGAAAAGCAUCCACUUCAUGUGGAGGGGUAAGUCCCUGUUCUUGGCCAGGGUGGCCAAUCUUCUAGAUAGAGCUUUAAACUAAGAUCACCAGGGGGGAGCGAGGGGGGCAGGGAAACACUGACUGGAGCAUGCCCAGGGAUGGGCACACAAGAAAGCUCUGAAGUUGGGGACACUAGUGUCACAACCCAAGGGUGUGAUUUUGUGUGUGCGCGCGCGCUUCGGCACUGCUAAAUUAUUUCCCGCCACUCGUAGCUUUCUUUGCAGGGUGCAUUUCUAGGUUGCAAAAGAGAAAUGCACGGUGCAAGGAGUUCCCGCCAUUCAUAUACAAAUUUGUGUCCCACUAUUGGCCAGUUCUGAAUUAUUCCCACGUGGCGGCUAGUGAUUGGCCUACUAGCCGUAUAAGAGGCUUGAGUGGUUUCCGCCCAAGUUGGAGAACUCCGAGGAGAACCCCGCAAGGGAGGACUCCACAACCAUCUGGAGGAGGAGAACUUCACAUCUUGUGAAGAUCUCUAAGCGCUGCAGAGCCUAUCGGACCCAGCAUGCAUCUCAAGAAGGCUAUAGGGGUCUGAUCAGCCUCUCGCCUCUCCCCGUCGCCACCUGAUCCCUCGACGUACCCUUCCCUGCGUGCAAGUUCCACGGAGCCUAGCAAACUUCGUGUGAGUGUAUUCAGAGCUCUUUGCUUCGAGUUACUUUCUUUGGUUGACACGACGGGCUCGCGGUUUGGAGCCUCCAACCGGAUGGGCUAGAAGGUUCACGGGAAGGAACUCUAGUCCGCCUCUCUUCUUUUCUGUCUGUAACUGCAACUCAAGCAAGUUUUCCUGCCUGCACCGUGACCAUCUUCGGUGUAAGUAAAAUAAUCUUUAAUCAAC